This 1417-nucleotide ribosomal RNA is filed under the name metagenome. RNAcentral describes it as "bacterial SSU rRNA". It matches the Rfam family "Bacterial small subunit ribosomal RNA". The record is from RNAcentral.
AGAGUUUGAUCCUGGCUCAGGACGAACGCUGGCGGCACGCCUAACACAUGCAAGUCGAACGGAGAAAAUGAUUUCGGUUAUUUUCUUAGUGGCGGACGGGUGAGUAACACGUGAGGAACCUGCCUCUGAGAGUGGGAUAGCUUCUGGAAAAGGAGCAAUCCGCUUUGAGAUGGCCUCGCGUCCGAUUAGCUAGUUGGUGAGGUAACGGCCCACCAAGGCGACGAUCGGUAGCCGGACUGAGAGGUUGAACGGCCACAUUGGGACUGAGACACGGCCCAGACUCCUACGGGAGGCAGCAGUGGGGAAUAUUGCACAAUGGGGGAAACCCUGAUGCAGCGACGCCGCGUGGAGGAAGAAGGUCUUCGGAUUAUAAACUCCUGUUGUUGAGGAAGAUAAUGACGGUACUCAACAAGGAAGUGACGGCUAACUACGUGCCAGCAGCCGCGGUAAAACGUAGGUCACAAGCGUUGUCCGGAAUUACUGGGUGUAAAGGGAGCGCAGGCGGGAAGACAAGUUGGAAGUGAAAUCCAUGGGCUCAACCCAUGAACUGCUUUCAAAACUGUUUUUCUUGAGUAGUGCAGAGGUAGGCGGAAUUCCCGGUGUAGCGGUGGAAUGCGUAGAUAUCGGGAGGAACACCAGUGGCGAAGGCGGCCUACUGGGCACCAACUGACGCUGAGGCUCGAAAGUGUGGGUAGCAAACAGGAUUAGAUACCCUGGUAGUCCACACUGUAAACGAUGAUUACUAGGUGUUGGAGGAUUGACCCCUUCAGUGCCGCAGUUAACACAAUAAGUAAUCCACCUGGGGAGUACGACCGCAAGGUUGAAACUCAAAGGGAUUGACGGGGGCCCGCACAAGCAGUGGAGUAUGUGGUUUAAUUCGACGCAACGCGAAGAACCUUACCAAGUCUUGACAUCCUGCGACGGACAUAGAAAUAUGUUUUUCCUUCGGGACGCAGAGACAGGUGGUGCAUGGUUGUCGUCAGCUCGUGUCGUGAGAUGUUGGGUUAAGUCCCGCAACGAGCGCAACCCUUAUGGUCAGUUACUACGCAAGAGGACUCUGGCCAGACUGCCGUUGACAAAACGGAGGAAGGUGGGGAUGACGUCAGAUCAUCAUGCCCUUUAUGACUUGGGCUACACACGUACUACAAUGGCGUUAAACAAAGAGAAGCAAGACCGCGAGGUGGAGCAAAACUCAGAAACAACGUCCCAGUUCGGACUGCAGGCUGCAACUCGCCUGCACGAAGUCGGAAUUGCUAGUAAUCGCAGAUCAGCAUGCUGCGGUGAAUACGUUCCCGGGCCUUGUACACACCGCCCGUCACACCAUGAGAGCCGGGGGGACCCGAAGUCGGUAGUCUAACCGCAAGGAGGACGCCGCCGAAGGUAAAGCUGGUGAUUGGGGUGAAGUCGUAACAAGGUA